UACGUAGGGCGCAAGCGUUAUCCGGAAUUAUUGGGCGUAAAGAGCUCGUAGGCGGUUUGUCGCGUCUGCUGUGAAAACUCGGGGCUUAACUCCGGGCCUGCAGUGGGUACGGGCAGACUAGAGUGCGGUAGGGGAGACUGGAAUUCCUGGUGUAGCGGUGAAAUGCGCAGAUAUCAGGAGGAACACCGGUGGCGAAGGCGGGUCUCUGGGCCGUAACUGACGCUGAGGAGCGAAAGCGUGGGGAGCAAACAGG
This 253-nucleotide ribosomal RNA is filed under the name uncultured bacterium. RNAcentral's name for it is "partial 16S ribosomal RNA". It matches the Rfam family "Bacterial small subunit ribosomal RNA", at positions 524 to 776 of the family's 1533-position model. The record is from RNAcentral.